GACGGGACCCGCACAAGCGGUGGAUGAUGUGGAUUAAUCGAUGCAACGCGAAAACCUUACCUACCUUGACAUGUCCGGAAUCCCGAAGAGAUUUGGGAGUGCUCGCAAGAGAGCCGGAACACAGGUGCUGCAUGGCUGUCGUCAGCUCGUGUCGUGAGAUGUUGGGUUAAGUCCCGCAACGAGCGCAACCCUUGUCAUUAGUUGCCAUCAUUUGGUUGGGCACUCUAAUGAGACUGCCGGUGACAAACCGGAGGAAGGUGGGGAUGACGUCAAGUCCUCAUGGCCCUUAUGGGUAGGGCUUCACACGUCAUACAAUGGUCGGUACAGAGGGUUGCCAACCCGCGAGGGGGAGCUAAUCCCACAAAGCCGAUCGUAGUCCGGAUCGCAGUCUGCAACUCGACUGCGUGAAGUCGGAAUCGCUAGUAAUCGUGGAUCAGCAUGUCACGGUGAAUACGUUCCCGGGUCUU
Molecule: ribosomal RNA, 467 nt
Filed under: uncultured Rhodocyclaceae bacterium
Lineage: Bacteria; Pseudomonadati; Pseudomonadota; Betaproteobacteria; Rhodocyclales; Rhodocyclaceae
Description: bacterial SSU rRNA
Rfam family: Bacterial small subunit ribosomal RNA
Source: RNAcentral